Molecule: ribosomal RNA, 232 nt
Filed under: uncultured bacterium
Lineage: Bacteria
Description: partial 16S ribosomal RNA
Rfam family: Bacterial small subunit ribosomal RNA
Source: RNAcentral
GGAGAGUGGCAGACGGGUGAGUAACGCGUGGGAAUCUACCUGAUGGUACGGAAUAACUCAGGGAAACUUGAGCUAAUACCGUAUGUGCCCGAGAGGGGAAAGAUUUAUCGCCAUCAGAUGAGCCCGCGUCGGAUUAGCUAGUUGGUGAGGUAAAAGCUCACCAAGGCGACGAUCCGUAGCUGGUCUGAGAGGAUGAUCAGCCACACUGGGACUGAGACACGGCCCAGACUCC